This is a long non-coding RNA of Bombus pyrosoma, 1459 nucleotides long. RefSeq lists it as uncharacterized. NCBI's taxonomy places the organism in Eukaryota, Metazoa, Arthropoda, Insecta, Hymenoptera, Apidae. The record is from RefSeq and is a predicted model, not a curated record. The transcript has 3 exons.
UCAUGAAUAAUAACUUAUGUAACUAAUAAAUUUCUGUCGUUCUAUAUGACAAGAAAGAAAAAAGCAAAGCACGUGGGGAGAUCCAUUUUAAUUACGGGAAUAACUGUUGUUAUUCUCACGUGUCAUCUUCUUUCUAAACAUAGAAAUUUUUAAACUUCCUAGAUGAAUUUUCAAGUUUAGAAAGAGAUAAUAAUCUAAAAGAUUAAUGCAAAGAGAAUCUUGUUUCAGGUCCAUAGAUAGAGCAACUGUGUAUAUUUCCUGCAGAAAAUAUGUACGGGUAUAUUGGCUGCAGUGCUGGAUAUAUUUCAAGCAAAACAUAUUGGAAAUAAUUAUAGUAAAUGAAUUUGAAAUGAAUAUUUAAGAUGAAUUACAAAUAAUUAUUUGAAAUAGUAUUUCAUGUGCCUAAAAGUGCAUGAAUAUUAUUUUGCAUGUCUAAACAAUGUACAGCUCAACUUGGCUAUUACAUAUUGCAUCAUUACCAGGUAAUGUCGUUCGUCAAAUUUGCAGUAGAAAAUGUGCAUGAAACAAUAACGAUAAAAAAAUACCUUGACGUUUAUCGGCGGCGCAGGUGGAGGAGGAUCCACUUUAACGUUGAUAAAUUUUAGAACGUCAUUAUAGUCCAGUUGUUCCUCUUCGUUCUUGUGAAUGCUAUAUUAUUAUUGCAAGAUCUCCGCUUAUAUACGUACUGAUCAAGCAUGGAAUUUAAAAGUUCUACGUCGACUGGAAUUCUGGCAGCACGGAGCGUAGUAUACAACGUAUCGCGUGGUGGCUGCGGUAUCAUGCUGAAACAGUUGCCGAGGGAAUCUUCGUAGGACCCAAAACCAUUGUAGGGUGGAAUGUAUUUUUCCACUUUCACGCAAAUCUCGCCAACAUUUCGAGGUCUUUCCAUGGGCGUGAAGUCAUCCAGACCGUAUUUCUUCCUUUGAUGCGAUACAAGGAACAUUUUUUUCACGUGACACAUUCUUUUCUACGCUUUUUACGUGAGUAUUAACGUUGCGUCAGAAGUGGUUAUUAGCGACGAUGAUUCGAAACCAGGAGAUGUUUUAUGGGAAAUUAUAUUCUUGUAUAAUAAAUAUACAGGAUGUACCAGCUGAAAAAGGCCGCUUCGAUGUCCCUCUUGUUUGCAAUGCUUGUAGCACGUUUUAAAAUUUAAUUUAAAUGAAUAUUUUUCUUUACUUUUUAUAUUUUAAUUUUCUUUUUCUAAGUCAUAGUUAUGUUUUAUGUAGGAAACGCGUACUAAUAAAAGGAUGAUGAAAUUGUAAGACGAUGUUAGGACGACAUGUGAACUUACACGUUUAUGUUGUUAAAUGUUCGAAGAUAUUUAAGUGGCCUUCUAUAGCUGGACACCUUGUGUAUAUAUAUACGUAAAAUUUUGUCAAGUUAUUUCUAAACGUUUCUAAAAUAAUCCCCAACAAAUAGAAUGUAUCUUAACGCAUUAAAGUGAACUAAUUUUACAGUA